This 241-nucleotide ribosomal RNA is filed under the name Euplotes raikovi. Its description in RNAcentral is "partial 26S ribosomal RNA". The record is from RNAcentral. Lineage: Eukaryota; Ciliophora; Spirotrichea; Euplotida; Euplotidae.
GCUGAAAGGGGCGUCUCCAGACUGAUUCUAAAAGAUAUUGCUUAUGCAACAUUUAUUACAAUCUGGUUCUAAGUUCUUACCGGAAGUGUGAGGACUGUUCCUGAAAUUAAAUCUUCAUCGGUCUGGCAUAAAUCUUAUCUAGACGACUUAACUGGGGAGCGGGUACUGUACGUGUUAGAGCAGAUUCAUUCUGCGAUACAUUGAGGUUCGUCCCGUAUUCCACGAUUUAGUUUAAUCCCUC